This 2546-nucleotide long non-coding RNA is filed under the name Sus scrofa (pig). Its description in RNAcentral is "lncRNA (ENSSSCG00025039987.1)". The record is from RNAcentral. Lineage: Eukaryota; Metazoa; Chordata; Mammalia; Artiodactyla; Suidae.
AAUCAGAGCUGUAGCUGCUGGCCUACACUACAGCCACAGCAAUGCUGGAUCCGAGCCGCGUGUGCAACCUACACCACAGCUCAUGGCAAUGCCGGAUCCUUAACCCACUGAGUAACACCAGGGAUCAAAUCUGUGUCCUCGUGGAUACUACCCAGGUUUGUUAACCACUGAGCCACAACAGAAACUCCUCCAAAAUAAUGUAUUUUAAAUUGUUUUCUUGGGAAAGAGGUGGGUAUUUCUUUUUCGUUUGUUUCUGUUUCCAAAAAAACUGAAUCCAAAGACUGUCAUUAGGACAUGCAUUUGUCAUAGUUCAGACAAAUGGCAGUAUGUAAUUCAUAUUUUGAGAGUUUAAAAACAGCAGACUCACAAAAAAUAUCUCAUAUUUCUUUUUCUAGCUCUCAGUUAUGUUCAAAUAAAAUCUAUUACCACUUUCAAAUAUUUUGUGAACAUUCAGCAGUAUAAUUCAUUUUAUAUUUCAAAAUACUGCAUGACAAUCAAUGUUUUUAAAGUAUUUGUAAUUUUAAAGUAGUACCUGAAGAUGAUUAGGUACUACAUACCUAUUUUCAAUACCUAAAAAUUCUUAAACAGCCCAAUUUCCAAGCUCUGAUAUAUGGAUGAUGUAAGUCAUCAUUUCUUAUAAAAAUAAGUAAACCUAUUGCAAUCAAGAAUUAAACAGGAGUUCCCGGCAUGGCUCAGUGUUCAGUGGUUAACGAACCAGACUAGUACCCAGGAGGACGUGGGUUUGAUCCCUGGCUUUGCUCAGUGGGUUAAGGAUCCAGCAUUGCCUUGAGCUGUGGGGUAAGCUCCAGACACAGCUCGGAUCCGGCUGUGGUGUAGGUUGGCAGCUAGAACUCUGAUUCGACCCCUAGCCUGGGAACCUCCAUAUACCAUGGGUGCGCCCUAAAAAAGACCAAAACCAUCUGAAUAAUAAAGAUACUGACAUAAGGCUGAUUAAAAGACUUAAAAGACGUGUCUUAUAAAAGAAAUGUAUUUCCAAGUGUAAGUAUAACUAAAAUGUUUGCUUUGAACAGCAGAAACAAAACAAGGCUCUUCAUGAAAAUGACCAUAACAGGAAAUGUUUUAUAUAGUUGCAGAAGAAACAACUCCUCUUUAGAACUCAGCCAGAAAUUCUUAAAGUUAAUUCAACAGAGACAAAGCAAUGUAGUUCCCCAGUACUUCAAAAUAUGGCCAAGCCCUGCAUACUGAUGUCUUAAUAAGUGGUAGGUAGAGUUGACACUGUCAGGUAUAAGGAGAGCUACAGCUUCCAUGAUAAUAAGAGAGCAAUGACAAAAAUGUCAAAGGUGUAGACACCUAGAAUGUUAAUUUAUUAGAAUGUGACUUUACACUGAUUAAUUAUAUGCUCCUCAAAAUAUCUGGAGAGCAUAAGAAAAGUUAAUUGAACCAUUCCAUUUUGUAUAUGCAGUUUUAAAUAAGUGAUAGAGAAUUGAUUUUAAAAUUAUAAGUAUAUAGAGUGAAAUCUAUAAACUCUAAGUGUUCCAUAUUAAGAUAUUAGUAAUGAAGAUGAUGAUGACUAUAAAAUAUUCACAGAAACAUUCACACUCACUCAGAUUCCACUGAACAUGACAGUGUAGAAGCAGAAAACUUAAGAGCUGUUUAAAAUAUUGAAGAUCAUCUGUUUGGGACUGAUCUGAAGACUACAAAGUCCUUUUGAGAAUGACACAUGGUUAAAAUAAAUACAGACCCUAACAACGAAAAUCACAAGUAAGAUGAUCUUUCAGAAUUAUUUCCACUUCGAAGAAAUCAACUUUCCAAGUUUUCUCAAACAGAUCAGAAAUACAUUAUUUAAAGACAUAUGCAAUAUGCUAAUCCAAGUAGUUCCUUAACUGAACAAAUUACUGGGCUCCUACAAUGACCCAGUAGGAUACUGAAAACUGGAAAAGAAGUAGAUAAGGCAUCGCCAUUUCUCCAAAGAUUCACAUCUGGAAAAUCUCUACCUUCUUUAUAAUCAACGUGGGGCUCCAAAAUAAAGCUGUGUGCUUUGAAAAAAAUAUUCUCAGAGUCACACUCAGUAAUUAAGUUAGCCUUCCCUAUUAACUAACCUAAAAUACCAUAAUUUUCUAUAAAAUCUCAUUUUCUGCUGUCAGACUACUUCAAUGAUUUCACAAAACUAGUGUGAUGCUUGUUCCUCCUGACCUAUAAACUAGGAGCACUUCUUGACCCCUGGCUGACGUAGGGUGUCUUUCUCAGGUGGCAGUGCUAUUUUCUGUCUUCAUCUAAAAUAGAUAUUAAGACCUCCUAAACUGCUGACCACAUCACCCACCCACAUUUCUGUGAGUGGAAAUUUGAAUUUGAGGUAACAGUAGUUAUAGUACCCUUCAAAGGCAUUUAUGAGAUUGCUUUCAUAGAGUCAAGGUAUAAAAUCAACUUUUAACAAAUCUAAGCAGAAACGUAAAAAUACCUUAAAGUAAACAAAUGAGUUCUAGACUUAAAUUGGUUAUAACCUGAUUAAAUGCAUGAAUGUAAGUUAAAAACUGAAUCUGGGGGAUUUAGCCAAGGAAGCCAAGACAAAAGACUCUGAGCCUAUA